This 27-nucleotide non-coding RNA is filed under the name Homo sapiens (human). The record is from RNAcentral. Lineage: Eukaryota; Metazoa; Chordata; Mammalia; Primates; Hominidae.
UGCAGCAUUUCACCCUGGCUUGUGUGU